GAUGAACGCUGGCGGCGUGCCUAAUACAUGCGAGUCGAGCGAACAGACGAGGAGCUUGCUCCUCUGACGUUAGCGGCGGACGGGUGAGUAACACGUGGAUAACCUACCUAUAAGACUGGGAUAACUUCGGGAAACCGGAGCUAAUACCGGAUAACAUGUUGAACCGCAUGGUUCAACAGUGAAAGACGGUUUUGCUGUCACUUAUAGAUGGAUCCGCGUCGCAUUAGCUAGUUGGUAAGGUAACGGCUUACCAAGGCAACGAUGCGUAGCCGACCUGAGAGGGUGAUCGGCCACACUGGAACUGAGACACGGUCCAGACUCCUACGGGAGGCAGCAGUAGGGAAUCUUCCGCAAUGGGCGAAAGCCUGACGGAGCAACGCCGCGUGAGUGAAGAAGGUCUUCGGAUCGUAAAACUCUGUUGUUAGGGAAGAACAAAUGUGUAAGUAACUAUGCACGUCUUGACGGUACCUAAUCAGAAAGCCACGGCUAACUACGUG
Molecule: ribosomal RNA, 497 nt
Filed under: uncultured bacterium
Lineage: Bacteria
Description: partial 16S ribosomal RNA
Rfam family: Bacterial small subunit ribosomal RNA
Source: RNAcentral